CACCCGUUCCCAUGCCGAACACGGAAGUUAAGCUCUCCAGCGCCGAUGGUAGUUGGGGGUUUCCCCCUGUGAGAGUAGGACGUUGCUGGGC
This 91-nucleotide ribosomal RNA is filed under the name Evansella caseinilytica. Lineage: Bacteria; Bacillati; Bacillota; Bacilli; Caryophanales; Bacillaceae. The record is from RNAcentral.